RNAcentral lists this long non-coding RNA (1439 nucleotides) under Equus asinus (donkey). Its description in RNAcentral is "lncRNA (ENSEASG00005028686.1)". Lineage: Eukaryota; Metazoa; Chordata; Mammalia; Perissodactyla; Equidae. The record is from RNAcentral.
AGACCACCAUUUCAUAUAUGGGGAAACUGAGGCCCAGAGAGGUGAAGCAAGUAACCACUAAGUGGCCUAGCGAAGAUUCAAAUGCAGGCAGGCUGACUCCAGAGUCCAUGCUGUCUCUCCGAGGCUCAGAGAGGGGAGGGCCCUAGCCCCUAGCACAGUCAGGGAGGAGCCCAUGGAAGCUUCUGAUGGAAUGUGUGGGAUGGCAGGGGCUGUCGGGAGCUAGAGCAGAGAGAAUUCCAACUUUUGCCUUGGUGAGUGGAGCCAGGCUCCAUGGGGAGUCUGCGGGAGGACUUUCUGAUUACUGAAGUAGUGAGCGCCCUGUCAAGCAGGUGUGAGAGCAGAGUCUGAGGCCACCCUGUUGGAGGGCAGUUCAGAGGUGAGCGCUGGGCUUCCGAAGGGCCUGAGCCGUCAGAGCUGAACCGCCCACUAUGCAGGCAAAGGGCCCUGCCCAGGUGUUCACAUGGUAGGCUCGGACCGCCUGGCCGCCUUGCCCGCUGGCCACCUUCUCACUGCCUGCAGCUGCCUUCCCAUCCCCGCCACCACCCACACCCCACCAGGCUGUGGCGAAGGGGCAGGGGCCAAAUUUACUAUAGGCUGCAUGCCUGCCUCACUUUUUCCCAUGUGCCUGCUGCUGCUGCUGCUUCUUGGGAGGGAGGGUGGCCCGGUCACUACACAACAACCCCCACCUCCCAACAGAGAUGGUAGGACCCUCAGCUGACAGAUGCGGAACACUGAGCCCCAAUGAGGCAAAGCCAGAAGGGUCUUGAACGCCAAGCAAAGCAGGUGAACUUCAUCCUGGGGAGCCCCGGGAGCUCUUCGAUCAGAAGCGCCCGCCUGUGGCCCCGCCGCCGCGCCCCGCGCCGCCGAGCCCGGCCCCAGAACUUCUGAGUUGCCUGCAGUCAUCAUCCACACUUUUGCCUUAUCCGUGCGCCUGCUCGUCCCCUGGAGCCUUCUGCCGCUCGGGAAGACGCGCCCCGACACCGACAUCCACCCCCAGGGAAGCGCUACACCAGCCCCGGCGCGUGCCCGCGGGUGCGCACGCGCCCGCUGCCACCAGGACGUGACUCGCGGAACGUCCGCUCCCGGCGGCGGCAGCGGCGGCCGCGGGGGAAGGGGGGACAGGGAGGUGCCCCGACAAUGCGUCCAGCUUCUGCAGCCGUCAUCGUCUAGGUUGGGAGCUGUGACCCAGUGCUCUCGGUCCGGCAGUUUGAGAAGUUUCCGCCGGUUUCAGAAGUUUCCUCAAGCGCCUGAGGGCGUUCCUCCUGUGGGGUCUCCACUCAGGCACUUACUUAGCCACCCGUUCACCCUUCAGGGGUCCUCACCACCCUCCCUCCAGCUAAUUAAGUGACGGACGCAGUAACCUAGGCGACCGCCUGAUUGACAGGCAUGAUUACCAACCAACUUCAGGAAUAUCCCACCUGGGCCCGCCUGGCGCGUCG